CCUACGGGAGACAGCAGUGAGGAAUAUUGGUCAAUGGACGAGAGUCUGAACCAGCCAAGUAGCGUGAAGGAUGACUGCCCUAUGGGUUGUAAACUUCUUUUAUAAAGGAAUAAAACGAGGCACGUGUGCCUUUUUGCAUGUACUUUAUGAAUAAGGAUCGGCUAACUCCGUGCCAGCAGCCGCGGUAAUACGGAGGAUCCGAGCGUUAUCCGGAUUUAUUGGGUUUAAAGGGAGCGUAGAUGGGUUGUUAAGUCAGUUGUGAAAGUUUGCGGCUCAACCGUAAAAUUGCAAUUGAUACUGGCAGUCUUGAGUACAGUUGAGGUAGGCGGAAUUCGUGGUGUAGCGGUGAAAUGCUUAGAUAUCACGAAGAACCCCGAUUGCGAAGGCAGCUUACCAACCUGUGACUGACAUUGAUGCUCGAAAGUGUGGGUAUCAAACAGGAUUAGAUACCCUGGUAGUC
RNAcentral lists this ribosomal RNA (460 nucleotides) under uncultured bacterium. RNAcentral's name for it is "partial 16S ribosomal RNA". It matches the Rfam family "Bacterial small subunit ribosomal RNA", at positions 338 to 795 of the family's 1533-position model. The record is from RNAcentral.